Molecule: ribosomal RNA, 447 nt
Filed under: uncultured bacterium
Lineage: Bacteria
Description: SSU rRNA
Rfam family: Bacterial small subunit ribosomal RNA
Source: RNAcentral
AGAGCGAACGCUGGCGGCAGGCCUAACACAUGCAAGUCGAGCGGCCGUAGCAAUACGGCAGCGGCAGACGGGAUAGUAACACGUGGGAACGCGCCCUUCGGUUCGGAAUAACUCAGGGAAACUUGAGCUAAUACCGGAUACGCCCUUACGGGGAAAGAUUUAUUGCCGAAGGAACGGCCCGCGUCCGAUUAGCUAGUUGGUGAGGUAAUGGCUCACCAAGGCUCCGAUCGGUAGCUGGUCUGAGAGGAUGACCAGCAUCACUGGGACUGAGACACGGCCCAGACUCCUACGGGAGGCAGCAGUGGGGAAUAUUGGACAAUGGGCGCAAGCCUGAUCCAGCCAUGCCGCGUGGAUGAUGAAGGCCUUAGGGUUGUAAAGUCCUUUUAACGGGGAAGAUAAUGACGGUACCCGUAGAAUAAGCCCGGCUAACUUCGCGCCAGCAGCCGC